GACGAACGCUGGCGGCGUGCUUAACACAUGCAAGUCGAACGGAAAGGCCCUGCUUUUGUGGGGUGCUCGAGUGGCGAACGGGUGAGUAACACGUGGGUAACCUGCCCUUGACUUUGGGAUAACUUCAGGAAACUGGGGCUAAUACCGGAUAGGAGCUCCUGCUGCAUGGUGGGGGUUGGAAAGUUUCGGCGGUUGGGGAUGGACUCGCGGCUUAUCAGCUUGUUGGUGGGGUAGUGGCUUACCAAGGCUUUGACGGGUAGCCGGCCUGAGAGGGUGACCGGCCACAUUGGGCCUGAGAUACGGCCCAGACUCCUACGGGAGGCAGCGGUGGGGAAUGUUGCACAAUGGGCGGAAGCCUGAUGCAGCAACGCCGCGUGCGGGAUGACGGCCUUCGGGUUGUAAACCGCUUUCGCCUGUGACGAAGCGUGAGUGACGGUAAUGGGUAAAGAAGCACCGGCUAACUACGUG
This 468-nucleotide ribosomal RNA is filed under the name uncultured bacterium. RNAcentral describes it as "partial 16S ribosomal RNA". It matches the Rfam family "Bacterial small subunit ribosomal RNA", at positions 28 to 507 of the family's 1533-position model. The record is from RNAcentral.